UUAAGUGGCUGCUAUUCCCGGCCUCCCACCACACUAAUGUACUCCAGACCCGCGCUCCUUUUCUUCUGGAUUGCAGUCAAAUCGUUUCCUGCAGCCCUCGCAGUGGAAGCUCCUUCCACCCCGAACAAACAUGACUUCCGAAAUUAUUUUCAUUUGUUUUUCUAAUCUAAUUUUCCCCUCGGUGCUCCACUAAUCAUCAAUGCCAUUAAGGGCUGGAUGUGUUGACUGCUUUCCAGAGAGCCCGUCCUGCAUCCUGCCGUGCGCGACCUUCGCCGGGCUGGGCCCCCUGGGACCCCCGGAGGGGCUGCAGAAUUGGGAGCUUUGUUGGUGCUGCUGGGGAUGGAGCAUCCCCUCCAUCCCCGCCCAGCCUGAGCUCCCCAGGAAAGGAACCUGUGUCAUCCUGGAAUAAUGACUAAUGAGUGUUUACAGCCUAAAGGAGAGGUGGGGUGAGUUGGCUCCAGGCCAAAGGGAAACAGCCUCUGGUGGAAUAUCCCAGCUGAGAGAGGGUGUGAGGGCAGGGAGAGCUGUCACUGCAGAGAGGAAAACACACAGCAAGGCUCUGGGGGACUGGGAAUUUAUCCAGCAGGACUGGGAGCAUGUGGCCACCCACUGCCCCUCCUGGAAACAGGAUUGGUGCUGGUGGUGCCAAAGAUGUGCCCGGCAGGCACAGGAUGAGGGGCCAGCCUUGGGACACUGAGUGAUGAGUUUUGGGGUGAUGGGGUUGAUAUCACCCCACAGGAAUAAAUAUUCCCCCCCCAAUGAAAUGGACUCCAUGGAUCUGUUCAAAACAGUUUAUUGUAUUUUUUCUUCAGACAAACACAUUGAUUUCUGGACCACAGUAGAGGAUGGAAACCUUUCACAAACUUAUUUAUUUGAAAAUACAAAUAUAAAAUUAUACUUUCCACAUCUGUGAUGUGAGAGACCCCCAUCCACAUAGUAUUUUACAACAGGGCUUCAGAAAGCCAUACACAGAGACCUGAAAGAUGCUUGAUAUAUAUAGAUACAUAUAUAUAUGUAUAUAUAUAAAAAAAAAGUCACUACCAAAGUUCUCAUCAGUUCAUACUAAAGUAUAAAAGGAAGGGCUAGGCCUGCCACUGUGCCAUAGUUUAUUUAGGUACAUUUAUGACCACCUGAAAUGCUCACUUGCAUCCUGGUACUGACGGGAGUUCAGAGCUCGUACGACAGAGGAUGACGGGGGUGCUGCCUACGACGGUGACACCACGGCCGGGCCGGGCUGGGGGUCAGCGGGACCCCGGCCCCGCCGGGCCCUGCUCGGACACCGAGCUCUCCACACGACACGGCCGCGCUGCCGGGGGCCCACAGCCGACCACGAGGAUUAGCUUCCUCAAACUACUUAUUUAUUUAUUUUUAUUUUUAUUUUUACCCCCUCUUUUAAAAAAAUUAUUAUUAUUAUUAUUUAUUAUUAUUUUAUAAUUUUUUUGGUAAUUUUAUUACAGUAUUAAAGUAUUGCUUAGCUUACAGAAUCUCCUCACGUAGUGUUCGCACGGGGUCGACUGGAUUCUGCAGUAGGAAACUCUACAGUGUCUGUGCGCAGACCGGGAUCUGCCGCUGUGUCUUGGAGGCAUCCUGUCUCUUCUCACACUAACCUCAGCUCUCCCUCUCUCUCAGCUAUGUCGCUUUUAAAAAAACAAACCAAACCACUAAAAAAAAGAAUUCAGAAGAUUCCACCCGAGACAUCGCCCAUAGCAUAAAAGACAGCUAUGAGUUAGUGUUGGUUUUUUGUUUUUGUAAACAGUUUCAUAUGCAAUAUCAUACAGAACCAUGGCUGGCCUUCAGUAAAAAUGUAGUAAACUAUAUUGCUUUAUUAUUGAUUAUGUUGCAUUGAGUGAAUGGCAGAAACGAAACAGGAAGGGACGUGUGGCUGGAGUCGCUAGCCCUCAUUCACACUACAGAUGAAAGCAGGGAAGAAAAGAAAUCCCAACACCUUUCAGGUCGUUAUCACCCACAAUUACCCAAUGGUUUAACUAAGCCUAGCAAGAUGUGUGACAUUCACCAGCAGACGCUGCUGUACAAUGGAAAAAAAAUCAACUUACAGCAAAGAGAGCCAUGCUACCUUAAAGUCCAAGCUACAAAUUCAACUCAAAAUGAACAUUUAUGAAGUGUAAGAAAAAAUAAAAACCCCAAAGGACAGAUCAGGCUUCGCUUUCCUCAAGCCGAUCACAAAGGGCUCGGGUUAUUUGAAGGGGAGGGUCCCAAGCACUUGUGGCUCCUCGGAAAUGUCGCCGGUGUUUGGGACAUGGCCCUGCCCAGGUCACCCCGGGGCUGGGGGGAAGCAAAGGGCAGGAGGGCUGUGGGCUCUGUCCCGGAGUCUCCCUGCCAUGCAGGGGUGGCACUGGACGGUCCUUUGGGGUCCCUUCCAACCCCAACCAGUCCGUGACUCCUUCGCUCCCUGGGCUUGAGAAAAACAAAGGUGGAGCUGAACCUUUGUGCUGAAAAAUUUACAAAAAACCCCCCAAACGAACGAAGGAAAAAAAAAAAAAUCCUUCAAAAUUGAUUUCUAGAUGAGUGGGGGACUAACGUGAACCUUAGUCUAGGUAGCCACAUCAAAACAUCUUGGAUUCCACGACAUUUGUGCUAUGGGCCACUGGGACUUCUCAAAAGGUAUAUAAACAUCUAAAACAUAUUCACACAGAUUAGCAAUUUCUUCUGAGCAUUCUUAAAAAAAUAUGUUUUUUUUUUCUCUUAGUAAAAUCGUUUUAAUAUACCGUGCCUCCCUCUUUUAAAAAAUAAAUUAAAAAAAUCCAGUUUUGCAUAUCUAGCAUUAGCAUUUAAGGUAGUAUGGCACAUCCCCUUUCCAAAGUCAAGGGUGGGGAUCUACAAAUGCCUUAAGAGUUUGCCAGCAUUUUUAACAUUGUGAGACCUUUGGUUAGUUGAAACCGCAUCAGAUCAACAAAAGAAAAAUAAUAAACAAGAGAAAAAAAUAGCACAGAAAGAAAGAAGAAAAAAAACAAAAAAAGGAAAACCUUCCCAAAAUUAUUAGCAUUUUUUUUUUCUUAAAUAAGAGAAAGUUCUAUCCUUACUGGUCCUAAAUCUGAAUAACUACAUCUAAUUUUUUAACCUUAAUUACGAUACACCUACCAAUAUGUACUAGAAGAGGAAGAGAGAAGGAGGGGGGGAAAAAUUCACUACACUACCAUCAGGACAGCACUCUUACAAGAUAAGCCAUUUUAUACACUAUUAACAUACAACAAUGAUCAACAAAGAAUAUUCUAUGAGGUGACAGGGAAUGGAGAGGAAAACCAACUGGUAGUACAGUACAUCAUCAACAUUGACAAAAUAGCAAUAAAAAAUUCCCUGACGGCACACUGAAUCGCAGGGAAUUUGGUUCGUAGGUUUUUUUUUUUUACCUUUUUAUUUUUUAAAGAAUUCGGUUUUAUUUCUUUUAUUACUUGAUCAAGUCUCAAUAUUUAAAAAGCGUCCAGCAUUUUGCUUAAACCUGGUUGUUCUGAAAUAAGAAAAAAACCUAAAAUAUUACAUAAAAAGCAUGAUUUUUUUUAAAAACAAGAAAAACAAGGUUUCUCCUUUCGGUUAGCAGUAUGGUGCCUUGUUUUGUUAAAGAUGCCUUGCUCUACCUUGUCUAUUGAAUGUCUACAUUAGUCUACUUGUUAGUAAAAUUUACAAAAAUAGGAGUGCAGCAGCUCUUUUUAACAAAUGUCGCAUUCAGUGUCUUAUACUGGCUGUACCUAAAGUACCAAAUUUAUAAACGUAACAAUUUAAAAAAAUAUUAAUAAAACUUGUCAAUAUUACGUUAAAAAAAGAAGAAAUAUAUCCACACUACAGUAUGUUCUUAAUGCCACCUACCAUGUUGUACUUCUAGUUUGCUGUUGCAGGCCUAUUUACCAAUAUUAAAAAAAUUAAAUUAAAAAAUAUCCUUCAUAAGUUUCCUCCCCCAACAGAGGACCAUAUAUAUAACAGCCAAAUAUUAAACAUGUGCAAAUAGGAAACUGUCAGUUUUUCCCCUACCAGUCACAGUGCAAUGAUGUUUUAUACUUUAUUUCUUUUAAAUUCUGUUUACAACUACAAUAAAUUAAAAUCUUCCGUUGCUUCUAGGGUGAAACUUGUAGCACUGAGGUAUUCCCAAAAAAAAUAAAA
This is a long non-coding RNA of Prinia subflava (tawny-flanked prinia), 4113 nucleotides long. RefSeq lists it as uncharacterized. Lineage: Eukaryota; Metazoa; Chordata; Aves; Passeriformes; Cisticolidae. The record is from RefSeq and is a predicted model, not a curated record. The transcript has 2 exons.